Molecule: ribosomal RNA, 424 nt
Filed under: uncultured eukaryote
Lineage: Eukaryota
Description: bacterial SSU rRNA
Rfam family: Eukaryotic small subunit ribosomal RNA
Source: RNAcentral
CAAUAGCGUAUAUUAAAGUUGUUGCAGUUAAAAGCUCGUAGUUGGAUUUGUGGUUUACGCAAGGCUUCCGUCCCUCUUGGUUUGUCGGUGUUGCCUGGCGUUGCCAUCUUUGGGUGGAAUCUGUGUGGCAUUAGGUUGUCGUGCAGGGGAUGCCCAUCGUUUACUGUGAAAAAUUAGAGUGUUCAAAGCAGGCAACCGCUCUGAAUACAUUAGCAUGGAAUAACGCUAUAGGACUCUGGUCCUAUUGUGUUGGUCUUCGGGACCGGAGUAAUGAUUAAGAGGGACAGUUGGGGCGAUUCGUAUUUCAUUGUCAGAGGUGAAAUUCUUGGAUUUAUGAAAGACGAACUUCUGCGAAAGCAUUUGCCAAGGAUGUUUUCAUUAAUCAAGAACGAAAGUUGGGGGCGUCGAAGACGAUCAGAUACCA